This 5262-nucleotide long non-coding RNA is filed under the name Sus scrofa (pig). RNAcentral describes it as "lncRNA (ENSSSCG00040069063.1)". The record is from RNAcentral. Lineage: Eukaryota; Metazoa; Chordata; Mammalia; Artiodactyla; Suidae.
UUCAGUAUUUCUUUUAGAAUGGGUUUGGUAUUGGUAUAGUCUUUUGGCUUUUGUUUGUUGUUUUUUUAUUUCCCCUUGUAUUUUAAAUGACAUUCUUGCUGGAUAGAGUAUUAUAGGUUGCAUAUUUUUUCUCUUCAGGUCUUUAAGUAUCUCUUGCCAUUCCCCCAUGGCCUGUAGAGUUUUUGUAGAGAAAUCAGCUGAUAGCCUUAUGGGAGUCCCUUGUAAUUGAUAUUUUGCUUUUCUCUUGCUUAUUUUGGGAUCCUCUUUUUAUCAUUAACUUUUACCAUUUUUAGUAAUAUAUGUCUUGGUGUGAGUCUAUUUGAGUUCAAUUUGUUUGGGGCCCUCUGUACUUCCUGUAUCUUGAAAUAAGUAUCUUUUAAAUUUGGAAUGUUUCCAGUGAUAAUUUCUUCAAUUAUAUUUUCAAUACCCUUUUCUUUUUCUUCUCCUUCUGGAAUUCCUAUUAUGCAUAGAUUGGCCAGCUUUAUAUUAUCCUAUAGGUCUCUUAUUUUGUUUUCAUGUUUUUUCAUUUGGUUUUCUGUCUGCCUGUUGUCCUAUUUGGGUGACUUCCAUUAUUCUAUCUUCCACAUCAUUAAUUCAUUCCUCUGUAUUAUUCAUUCUGUUUUUUUAGUGCCCUUAGAUCAGUUUGUGUCUCUGCAAAUGAAUUUUAUAUAUUUUCUUGGCUCCUCCUCAUAUUUCCUAGUUCCUUUCUGAGGGAAUCUGUGUUACUGUUCAUAUAUUCUCUUAAUUCCUUCAGUAUUUUCACUGUCUCCCUUUUGAACUCCAAGUCUAUCAGACUGCAGAGGUCUGUUUCACUGUUGACUGCUUUAGGUGAGUUCUCUGGUUGCUUUAACUGGGAAUGGUUUCUGAGCUUCUUCAUCUUGUUUGUGUUUUUCUUUUUUGUGGAGAAGGGAAGGUGUUGUUUUCUGGCCUUCUUUGAAGCAGUAGGGCUUUUCCCAAGUGUGUGCAAGGCUAGCCAUGUCACUCCCACUCCGUGGCAGAGGGUGCUUCCCCAGGGUGGGUGGGGCUAGCAGGGUUACUCUGAGGCAAAGGAGCACUUCCCAAGGAUGGGUAUGACUGGCAGGUGUGCACCGCAGUGGAGGUGCAUUUCCAGUGGCCAGGCAGGGCUUUCCCUUGUGCUCCUGGGCUUCAGAGCUCUUCCUGAGAUCAGGCAGUGCUGGCCAGCAUGCUCCACAGAAGUGCAGCACUUCCAGAGGGCAGGCGGGUCUACCUGUCUCACUCCCAGGCAAAGGAGCACUUCCUGAGGGCAGGCAGGACUGGCAGGCAUGUGCUGUGGUGGAGGAACACUUCCCAUGGCUGGACAAGGUUUGUCCUGGUGCUCCUGGGCUGCAGAGGUCUUCCUGAGUGGAAGCAGUUUUGGGCAGCUUGCUCCGUGGGUUGUGGGGUGCUUCCUCUGUGUGGGCAGGCUGAGCUGGUGAAAUCCUCAGUGGUUGUUGGCUUCCCACAAAUGGUGAGGCCAGUCCACUGGGAUGGCAGGCAGCUUCUGGCCAGGUGAAUGUUGAGUGGAGGCGGGGGAAUGCACUGGGAAGGUCUGCUGUCUGCUAACUGGCAGGCAGGCAUGCAACUGGAGCCUAAGGUGUAUUCUAUGGCAGCCCACCCCUCCUCCUCUCCCCUACCCACACUGGUGCCUUGUGUCUACAGUGGGUUCAGACCUUCUCCCUGGUUCCAUCUGUUGUGGCUUUCCACUCCCCAGCCCUUAGCUAUUGCUCUCUACCUGCAACGCACCACUUCCUAGUCUCUCAGGCUGUCUCCACACCAACAACACAAGCCCGCUCCCAGGGACUAACCUCAAGAGCCUUGGUCUUGGUACCCAGCCCCCACCUGAGCAUCUCAGUUUUUGGUGUCUGUGCCAGUGGUUCAGAUGAUCUUUGUGGUUCUCACUCUGCUUUUCAGAUCUCAGACCUGCUGCUGUGCUUUUCUUGGCAUCAGGAUAUCCCUCCAACUUGGUUGAUCUUUCUGAUGGUUAGGUGACUUUCCAGGGUGUGGGUUCCCUUUCUCCUUCUCAGCUCCCUCUUGGGAGUGCCAGUCCAGUCCUGAUUCCCUUCUCUCUCGUCUUUUCUUAUGUCAAGAGAUUCUUGCUAUUUUUUGGAGGUUUAGGUUCUUCUGCCAGCAUUCAGUUGUUGUUCUCUGUGAGUCAUUUUACAUGCAGAUGUUUUUUUUGUUGCGUAUGUGGGAGAGGGCAAGCAUGUCCCCCUACUCUUCCACCAUUUUGCCUCCUCUCUUGCUUACAGCCAUUUUUAAUCUCAUGCCUCUCCAUUCACCUUUUAAAAGUUUCUUUCUUCUUUUAAAAUUUUUAAUCAUUUAUUUUUAAUUUUUAACCUGUUUCUGUUCUUUUUUUUACUUUCAUUUGACUUUAUUUUUAAUUGAAGUAUAUAGUUCAUUUACAAUGUUGUGUUUGUUUCAAGCAUACAAUAAAAUGAUUCCAUUAUACACACACACAUAUGUAUUUUUUUCUCAGAUACAUUUCCCUGAUAAGAUAUUACAAAAUACUAAGUAUAUUUUCUUGUGCUUAGAGGAAAUACAUUCACUUAAUAAAAUAAGUCCAUUGAUGAACAUCUGGGCUAUUUACAGCUUCUGGCUAUUAAAUAAUGCUCUUAUGAACAUCCUCGAAUAAAUCUAUGCAUAACUAUAUACAUUCAUUUUCUUUAGAAAAACACCUACUCACGUGCUAGGUAUAUGAUUAACUUUUAAAUGAAAUGUUCAAACUCUUCUCUAGUCCCAUGAGCAGUGUAUGAGGGUUCCAGUUCCAUCAUAUCUUCAGUGGCACUGAGGGCAUUGGUUCUCUCAAUUUUAGACAUACUAAAAGGUUUAUAAGGAAAUAAACCAGUUUACAAACCUGUAGCCACUUGAUUGGAGCCCUGUAAAAGAUUGGAGUCCUCUGAAAAACAGUCCUGUGACCUUGGGUAUUUUUUGAACUUUUUGAGUCUCCCUAACUCUAUGCUUGAUUUCAUUAUUCUGCAGCAGUUUUCACUGUUUACCUACCAUUCAUUUUGCCUUAAUAAGUUUUGUUCUGAACCACCUCCAAAUUGGAUGUGUGUUCUAAGAGAGGGAUUUCUGGUUAUAUUAUUAUCUAUUAUGUCUCUAGAGAAUAUAUCAGUAUUACAUUUGUGGGAACCUGAAUGAUUAUUUAAAGGAGUGAGUGAAUGAAUGAACAGAUGAAAUCAUUCAACAGUUACCAGUCACAAUUGCCUGUUGGGAGCCAUAGCUGAUCUGUAGUGAUACAAAGAAAUUGACAAUAAGCCUUAACAUUUAAAAAACUUUCAUUAGGUGUUCCUUUAACCAAUAUCCCAACUCACACAAAGACUGUGAUCAUUAUUUCCACUUUGAAGUAACUGAGUCUCAGUGGUUUUGAUAAUUUGCUCAAGUAUGCUCUCUUGGAAGGGGAUGUACCCAGACUCUUUUUUCCAGUUUUAUAUUCAAUCUCCCUCCUCCUGAACAAGGCAUGGACCUACAUACAAAACCUUCCAGGGGAGUGGGGAGACAUGCACAUUUUAAGGGUCUUUGUGUUCUAAUGAAAGUUUGUGUCAGUGUUGGGGGCAGAAGCCCUUCCACUGCCUGUGCCAUACACCACGCUUGGGAGAAGCUGUGAUCAUGAUGCAGAGGUCCCAGCCAAUGCAUAAACUCCUGCUUCUUAUCAGAUACUCGACUAGAAGCCCAAAGUACUACUCAUAUCAUUGACACUUUCUCCUGUGAAAUAAGGUGCAGCUCAGCUCCUGUGGACCCUAAUCAUCCUCUGUUCCAAGGGGCCAGGAGGAAGUUGGGCAGUUGCCCCAGUGAACUUCUCUAGUCAGGGACUUGGGAUGGUUUCCCUCCAAGGUCUCUUUAGGAUGUAGAAAAGGAGAUCUUGUGCAUCAUUUUGAAGCUGGAGAACCAGCAUGAGUGUCUGUACAGGUCCUCAGGUCACCAAGGUUUGCUCUUUUUCUUUGGAUUCUGGGUCUUCUGGAAAAAAAAGUGAGGAUUCAGGUAACAGAAUGAAGCAGAAGGUAUUUGAACUCUGAGCACAGGUAUAGUUCAGAAGGAGUCCAGAAACCUCCCUAGUCAUGCAUGUGUGUCUAUGUGUAAGUGUGUGUGACCAUCAGAGAAGUUAUGUGUAUUUGUGUAUCUCUGAUGUAUGAGUCUAUGUGUGUAUGUGUAACUGACGAACACACUGAAUGGCACACACUAGGAUAUACAGAGGUUAGAGAAGCCUGGACAUUUCCUAAGUGUGUGUGUAUUCUACUUGCAUCUGCUGCUUGUGUGCUCUAAGACCUAGUGCCCUGCUUGCGAUUCAAAUAUGAAUGACUUCUUGUGAUGACAACAGUUCUGGUCUAGGAUGCUUGACAUUUCAGUGUGUGUAGCUGGAUCAAACAGUUUAGAAAUAAAAUCCUCAUUUCUGGGAUUAUAUAUGUGGACAAUCAGAUCUUUAUCUUUUCCCAACUUAAUGAAUUGGUGGCCUUGGCUUUGGCCAUGGUGAUUCUCAGCAUGCAGUGCUUUUACAUGGGAUUAUGCUAUUCGCUUGCAGAUCUUGUCAGUAAGGUGCUUAAGAAGUGAGGCACAUUGAAACAUUUAGCAAAUUUUAGCCUUGUGGAGACUCUACCACUUGACUCUCCAUUUCCUAUAGUGCAGGGGACAAUAUUUGGUAUUAAGACAGAAAAAUCAUGCCCAUCCAUAGUCUCUCUCUCAACACAACACGUCUAAGUCACACUCUGUCUCCUAUUCACUACUGAGCAAUUAUCUGGCCACAUCUUUGCACACAGUGUUGCUGAUGGAAUCAAAGUACCACAUCUGUAUUGUUACCCUCUGUUCCUAUUGCAGCUCUUGGGUGUCAUUAGGAGCUUUGGUUCUCCUGCAGGAGAUCUGUGAGAUCCUGGGCUAAGUCUGGCCCAGCAGCUUUCAGUGAGAUGCCUGUUCCUGGCAGGAGGGUCAAGUGCCUGGGGAAGGAGUGGCAUAGGAAAUACCAGACACACUAAAACUGCAAUUUUGGAUUCCACACAAGGGUCUCUCACUUUCUUGUGGAGAAAAAGAGUAACUGCCUGCAUUGGUUUUAUGACCUACUGUUAUCAAUGCAAGCAAAAAAUAUGAAAAAACACGUCUGUAUUACACAUCCUGCAAGGUAAUGGAUUGAUCCUGAGUCUGCAUGUUCAUCAGCAUCUUAGGGAAAGUGACAGAGGAAAAGGAGAUGUCUGUGAGGGCCACGUGGCUGAGAAAGAAGUACAUGGGGGUGUGGAGGCAAGGGUCCAGCCUGAUGAGCAGGAUGAUGAGCGG